Molecule: ribosomal RNA, 454 nt
Filed under: uncultured soil bacterium
Lineage: Bacteria
Description: bacterial SSU rRNA
Rfam family: Bacterial small subunit ribosomal RNA
Source: RNAcentral
AGAGUGAACGCUGGCGGUAGGCCUAACACAUGCAAGUCGAACGGCAGCACAGUGGUAGCAAUACCAUGGGUGGCGAGUGGCGGACGGGUGAGGAAUACAUCGGAAUCUACCUUUUCGUGGGGGAUAACGUAGGGAAACUUACGCUAAUACCGCAUAAGACCUUCGGGUGAAAGCCGGGGACCUUCGGGCCUGGCGCGGAUAGAUGAGCCGAUGUCGGAUUAGCUUGUUGGCGGGGUAAAAGCCCACCAAGGCGACGAUCCGUAGCUGGUCUGAGAGGAUGAUCAGCCACACUGGAACUGAGACACGGUCCAGGACUCCUACGGGAGCAGCAGUGGGAAUAUGGACAAGUGGGCGCAAGCCUGAUCCAGCCAUGCCGCGUGGGUGAAGAAGGCCGUUCGGUUGUAAAGUCCCGUUUUGUUAGGAAAGUAAUCGUACGACCGGUUAAUAACCAGUA